UCGAAAUUCGAACUUUUUGUACUUCAAAAAUUUACUCAAACUUAGUAAAUCUGCCCCUGAGUGUGAGUUACAUUUUAGCCAUUAAUAUGAAUGAUAACAUAAAGAUCUUAAAUAUUACAGGUCUAUAACUAAAAAAAAUAACAACAGUGUCCAAUGGCCAACAGUCUUAGACCCUGAACUGGGUGGGGGGCUAGUGGUAUUCAUAGCAACAAAAAGGUGGGGUAUCAAGCAAUACAGAUAGAUGAAUAAAUCCAUAAAGAAGAAAAAGUACUAAAAUUCAUAUGGUUUGAAUAGGAUGUGAAGGAGACCAUGUACUUAAGCUGGAACAACUAUCCCUAAGCUCCCUAAACAGAGGUGGGCAGUCUUCAACACCACAUAUCAGCCGAAUGCAAUUCUGUUCUAGUGGAUUCACAAAACUGACAUUUGUACCUCCAGUCAUGCAUCUCAAGCAAUUAACAGGUUUCAAUAAGUAUCAUGGUAUGAUUGUAAUUGGACUGUGGUGAUUUUAAAACAUUCAUACCUCACCAAGCUUCAUCCACCAUCUGGCUGAAAAAGUUCUCUGGAUACAAAGUCAUUGUUAUUGAAUAAGGGGAAAAUAUAUUAUCAUUUAAAGGGUUUAAGAUUCUAGGGGAUUUCCUACCACUCACUUAAGGCAAUGCUUGAAUUGAUGGUGCAAGAUUUCAAAAUGAUUUAAAGUUCAGUUGCUUUAGACUUAUGCCAUAUAUUCAAAGUAUGUAAUUUUUGCUUUCUUUGCUUUAAAGAUGGUUCAGUCUCAAUAAUCAACUACAUAAGAGUUGGCAUGGGAAUCCUCAUUGUUAUCCUCAUCUUCCUCAUUGUUGUUUUCCACUUCAGAUUCUGGAAGAAGAUUACAGCUGAUGGUAGUGAGACACAUGUCAUUGUGAUUCAGAAGGUACAUGAAUAUGAAAAUGUAAAUGCAACAAACAGAACUCAAGAAAAGAUUCCUGAUAGACCUGAUUGUAACCUGGAUAACCAAGGGGCUUCCCAGUGAAAUAUACAAUGAUCAGCACCCAACAGAACAUCUAUAGUUGAUAACAAAGGUCCUUCCAGCUACAGGCAUCCAUUGCUCUUAUCAACACAAAUGUUCUUCUGCCAUUUUCCUGUCCCAAUGCUGAAGAAUUCCAAUUAUUGGACAUUUAAGGACUGUAUUGAGUUUAAUUACUAUUACUACAUUGUGUAAAAAAACUUUACUCAUUCUGAUGUAGAAAACAGCAUUUUUGAUUAAUAGAAUAUGGUGCUUUGCAAACAAAUAGACAUUAGAAACAAGUAGGAUAACUCUUCAAUUGUAGAAACGGAUAAAACAACCAUGCUGUCA
Molecule: long non-coding RNA, 1333 nt
Organism: Xenopus laevis (African clawed frog)
Lineage: Eukaryota; Metazoa; Chordata; Amphibia; Anura; Pipidae
Exons: 3
Source: RefSeq, a predicted model, not a curated record